GACGAACGCUGGCGGCGCGCCUAACACAUGCAAGUCGAACGGAGCUGAGAGAAGCUUGCUUUUCUUAGCUUAGUGGCGAACGGGUGAGUAACGCGUGUGUAACCUGCCCUGGAGUGGGGGACAACAGUUGGAAACGACUGCUAAUACCGCAUAAGCUCACGAUCCGGCAUCGGGUUGGGGGAAAAGGAUUUAUUCGCUUCAGGAUGGACGCGCGUCCAAUUAUCUAGUUGGUGGGGUAACGGCCCACCAAGGCGACGAUGGGUAGCCGGACGGGGAGGUUGAACGGCCACAUUGGGACUGAGACACGGCCCAGACUCCUACGGGAGGGAGGAGUGGGGGAUAUUGCACGAUGGGGGAAGCCCUGAUGACGCGGCGUCGCGUGGAGGAAGAAGGUUUUCGGAUUGUAAACUCCUGUCGUAAGGGACGAUAAUGACGGUACCUAACAAGAAAGCACCGGCUAACUACGUG
This 468-nucleotide ribosomal RNA is filed under the name uncultured bacterium. RNAcentral describes it as "partial 16S ribosomal RNA". It matches the Rfam family "Bacterial small subunit ribosomal RNA", at positions 28 to 507 of the family's 1533-position model. The record is from RNAcentral.